UCCGCCGAUAGGCCCUCACCACCCUGCUCCACCUGCCGGCGGCCGGGCCCGUCUUCGCGCACUACAAGCAGGCGUACUACGCCAUCCUUGCCUUCGUCCUCUUCGUCGCCGUGCCAGUGGUGCUAGCCACCGCCUUCUGCCUGCUGCGCUGCACCGACGGUCGCCGCCGCCGCCUCCUCGGCUUCGCCAGGGGCCUCCUGCCCUGUGUUUACGUGCUGCUCCUCGUCGUCAUCUCUGUGGGAACGGUUUUCUAGGAAAAAGUUAGACAAGUAGCAUUUCUAAAUGAAGGAAAUGGAGCCAUUCCAGAAGAAGCACGCGAAUAUGCCCUUUUUUCCGCAGUUUACUACUCUACUCGAGCAGCACAGAUCCUAGAUGGAGAAAGAUUGGUCCAACCGGAUGUUGAAAUGAGGCGGUUUCGGGUGUAUAAUAAGAGCAAGAUGGAUCUUGUGGGCUUGGCUAUCAUAAUACUAGAUUACUCUUCAGUUUAAUUGAGCUCCUCCUUAUUCGCUUUUAGUUAUUUUGUGUUAUUGCCAUUCAAUUAAUGCAGGGGUUAUUUAAUU
Hordeum vulgare subsp. vulgare (domesticated barley) is the source of this 560-nucleotide long non-coding RNA. RefSeq lists it as uncharacterized. The transcript has 2 exons. The record is from RefSeq and is a predicted model, not a curated record. NCBI's taxonomy places the organism in Eukaryota, Viridiplantae, Streptophyta, Magnoliopsida, Poales, Poaceae.